This 315-nucleotide long non-coding RNA is filed under the name Rattus norvegicus (Norway rat). RNAcentral's name for it is "long non-coding RNA NONRATT018769". The record is from RNAcentral. Lineage: Eukaryota; Metazoa; Chordata; Mammalia; Rodentia; Muridae.
AUUGUACUGGUCUCUCAAAAAAAACUUGGGCAAGUAGAUUCCCAACUGCUUCCCUAUGGAGAAGAGAGAGAGACUUGGCAUUUUCUUUGCUUUGUGUGCAGGUGCCUGAUAGAUGCAUACAUCUGUACAGGAGCCUGUGCCCCAGGUAUGUUUAGGGGUCAGAGGGUGUCCUGCCUUAAUCUUCUCAGACAGGGUCUCAUUGGUCAGAGACUCACUCCCCGGGGCCACAGGCCCCUUUCUUGGCUACCUUUGAUUUUUCUGAGUCAGUCUACAUGCUUGUCUGACAAGUGUUCUUACCAUCUCUCCUUUAAGGUG